Molecule: long non-coding RNA, 473 nt
Organism: Stegostoma tigrinum
Lineage: Eukaryota; Metazoa; Chordata; Chondrichthyes; Orectolobiformes; Stegostomatidae
Exons: 4
Source: RefSeq, a predicted model, not a curated record
ACAGCAAUCUAAACUGCCCAUUCAAACAUAGCAAUCCUGAAUGAAAUAGAAUUCUGCCCUAAAUACUUUCUGUUAACAAGUCGUGUAUCAUCUUGGAAGAAGAAAGAGAGGCAGCUCAUCGUGCACACUAUGUCAUGAAGCAAUCUAUUUGGUAUGAGAGCAUCUAAAAUUGGAAGAUAAGUUAAAGCAGUUGGCGUGACUGAGACUGGCUGGAAUCGAAUGAGAAGUUGUUGAGGGUGACGACUCGCUUCCAACACAAGUCCUCCUCCUGGAACCAUCCCCGCAGACCUCCCAUUGACUGAGAACGAACGGUUGUGUUGUUGGUAAGGCCAGCAGUUGUUAAUCUCUCAUUUCCCUGGAGAAGAUGGUGAUGAGCUCGCUCUUUUGAUUAAAACUGAGUGGCUUGACGGGCCAAUUCAGGAAGCAAUUAAACUCAACAACAUUGCCACGAGCUGGAAGUAACAUUUGUGCCA